This 461-nucleotide ribosomal RNA is filed under the name uncultured bacterium. RNAcentral's name for it is "bacterial SSU rRNA". It matches the Rfam family "Bacterial small subunit ribosomal RNA", at positions 339 to 792 of the family's 1533-position model. The record is from RNAcentral.
CUACGGAAGGCAGCAGUGGGGAAUUUUGGACAAUGGGCGCAAGCCUGAUCCAGCAAUGCCGCGUGAGUGAAGAAGGCCUUCGGGUUGUAAAGCUCUUUUGUCAGGGAAGAAACGGGAGUGGCUAAUAUCUGCUUCUAAUGACGGUACCUGAAGAAUAAGCACCGGCUAACUACGUGCCAGCAGCCGCGGUAAUACGUAGGGUGCAAGCGUUAAUCGGAAUUACUGGGCGUAAAGCGUGCGCAGGCGGUUUUGUAAGUCUGUCGUGAAAUCCCCGGGCUCAACCUGGGAAUGGCGAUGGAGACUGCAAGGCUAGAAUCUGGCAGAGGGGGGUAGAAUUCCACGUGUAGCAGUGAAAUGCGUAGAGAUGUGGAGGAACACCGAUGGCGAAGGCAGCCCCCUGGGUCAAGAUUGACGCUCAUGCACGAAAGCGUGGGGAGCAAACAGGAUUAGAUACCCUAGUA